Molecule: ribosomal RNA, 254 nt
Filed under: uncultured bacterium
Lineage: Bacteria
Description: partial 16S ribosomal RNA
Rfam family: Bacterial small subunit ribosomal RNA
Source: RNAcentral
GACGUAGGGCGCGAGCGGUGUCCGGAUUUAUUGGGCGUAAAGAGCUCGUAGGCGGUGUGUCACGUCGGCCGUGAAAACCUGCAGCUUAACUGUGGGCGUGCGGUCGAUACGGGCAUCACUGGAGUUCGGCAGGGGAGACUGGAAUUCCUGGUGUAGCGGUGAAAUGCGCAGAUAUCAGGAGGAACACCGGUGGCGAAGGCGGGUCUCUGGGCCGAUACUGACGCUGAGACGCGAAAGCGUGGGGAGCAAACAGG